GCCCCCUUAGCUCAGGGGAUAGAGCAACUGCCUUCUAAGCAGUGGGUCGGGUGUUCGAUUCACCCAGGGGGCGCCA
RNAcentral lists this transfer RNA (76 nucleotides) under bacterium. Its description in RNAcentral is "tRNA-Arg". It matches the Rfam family "tRNA". Rfam says of the family: Transfer RNA (tRNA) molecules are approximately 80 nucleotides in length. Their secondary structure includes four short double-helical elements and three loops (D, anti-codon, and T loops). Further hydrogen bonds mediate the characteristic L-shaped molecular structure. tRNAs have two regions of fundamental functional importance: the anti-codon, which is responsible for specific mRNA codon recognition, and the 3' end, to which the tRNAs corresponding amino acid is attached (by aminoacyl-tRNA synthetases). tRNAs cope with the degeneracy of the genetic code in two manners: having more than one tRNA (with a specific anti-codon) for a particular amino acid; and 'wobble' base-pairing, i.e. permitting non-standard base-pairing at the 3rd anti-codon position. The record is from RNAcentral. RNAcentral also lists the same sequence under 1 other name.